UGCAGUUUGUCACAAGUGCUUCAUUUUUAGCCACUGUCUAUGCUGACUACCUUACUUCAUCUCGUACGAACUUGAGAUGUAAUUCAGGCAAUGUUGCCCCGGCUGAACUUCUCUCCCUUGCAAAGUCUCAGGUAAUUCAACUCCUGCAUUUCAGUUCAUAUACGAGAAAGUAAGUUUUAAAGUAUAUCAGUGUGGUCUCAAUACUUGACAUGUGUAAUCUUCAGGUGGACUACCUUCUUGGGAACAACCCAAGAGCAACUAGUUACAUGGUGGGCUAUGGAAACAACUUCCCACAAAGGGUUCAUCACCGAGGUUCAUCCAUUGUUUCAAUCAAGGCUAACCCUUCAUUUGUCAGCUGCCGUGGAGGUUAUGAUACUUGGUUUAGCAGCAAAAAGAGUGACCCCAACCUACUCACUGGAGCUCUUGUUGGUGGACCUGAUGCCUAUGAUGAUUUUGCUGAUGAAAGAGAUAAUUAUGAGCAGACAGAGCCAGCAACCUAUAACAAUGCUCCUCUCAUUGGUAUUCUAGCACGUCUGAGUGGUCGCGGUGGCUAUAACCAGCUUCUUCCAGGUAUUGCCAUCAUUAUUCUUACUUUGUGUCCUUUUCUGUUCACACUCUUGGUGAUAAUGUAGUAAUCAGCUUUAGUUUCUUCCUUGUAGUUGUUCCCGCUCCUAAGCCUAUUGCUGUCAAGCCUCAACCAUCCCCCAAUACCAAGACAACUCCAUCUCCAGGUACUGUUUGGCUAGUCUUCACUAAUUCACUUGCACGUUGUAUAUUGCUUAAUUAAC
RNAcentral lists this long non-coding RNA (788 nucleotides) under Phaseolus vulgaris (common bean). RNAcentral describes it as "long non-coding RNA (PVUL_LNC004732)". The record is from RNAcentral. Lineage: Eukaryota; Viridiplantae; Streptophyta; Magnoliopsida; Fabales; Fabaceae.